This 467-nucleotide ribosomal RNA is filed under the name uncultured bacterium. RNAcentral's name for it is "partial 16S ribosomal RNA". It matches the Rfam family "Bacterial small subunit ribosomal RNA", at positions 28 to 506 of the family's 1533-position model. The record is from RNAcentral.
GACGAACGCUGGCGGCGUGCUUAACACAUGCAAGUCGAACGGAAAGGCCCUGCUUUUGUGGGGUGCUCGAGUGGCGAACGGGUGAGUAACACGUGAGUAACCUGCUCUUGACUUUGGGAUAACUUCAGGAAACUGGGGCUAAUACCGGAUAGGAGCUCCUGCUGCAUGGUGGGGGUUGGAAAGUUUCGGCGGUUGGGGAUGGACUCGCGGCUUAUCAGCUUGUUGUUGGGGUAGUGGCUUACCAGGGCUUUGCCGGGUAGCCGGCCUGAGAGGGUGACCGGCUACAUGGGGCCUGGGAUGCGCCCCAUGCUCCAACGGGAGCCAGAGGGGAUGAUGAUGGCGCAAGGGGCGGAGGCCGGAGGCAGGAACGCCGAGUGGGGAAUAACGGCCUUCGGGUGGAAAACCGCUUAGGCCUGGGAGAAAGCGUAAUUGACGGUAAUGGGAAAAAAAGAACCGGCUAAUUAGGU